RNAcentral lists this ribosomal RNA (251 nucleotides) under uncultured prokaryote. RNAcentral's name for it is "partial 16S rRNA". It matches the Rfam family "Bacterial small subunit ribosomal RNA", at positions 525 to 775 of the family's 1533-position model. The record is from RNAcentral.
ACGGAGGGAGCUAGCGUUGUUCGGAAUUACUGGGCGUAAAGCGCGCGUAGGCGGUCCAUCAAGUCAGAGGUGAAAGCCCGGGGCUCAACCCCGGAACUGCCUUUGAAACUAGCGGACUAGAAUCUUGGAGAGGUCAGUGGAAUUCCGAGUGUAGAGGUGAAAUUCGUAGAUAUUCGGAAGAACACCAGUGGCGAAGGCGACUGACUGGACAAGUAUUGACGCUGAGGUGCGAAAGCGUGGGGAGCAAACAG